Molecule: long non-coding RNA, 1338 nt
Organism: Cryptomeria japonica (Japanese cedar)
Lineage: Eukaryota; Viridiplantae; Streptophyta; Pinopsida; Cupressales; Cupressaceae
Exons: 3
Source: RefSeq, a predicted model, not a curated record
AACGCUUUCGGUUGCAGGGGUUUUCUUUUGCAUCGCAGCCUUGGCUUCGGCAGAUCCCUGGUUAAGAUAUUUCAGUUGAAAAAACAUGCUACCGUUAAGAUAUUUCAGUUGAAAAAAAGCAUGCUACCGUUAAUAAACACGCUCCAUAGAUGGAUAUUGCAGCUGAAAAAAGCAUGCUACUGGUUCGAAUCCACCCGUUGAAAAAACUUUCUACCGUUAAGAUAUUUCAGCUGAUAAAAAGCAUGCUACCGUUAAUAAACACGCUCCAUGGAUAGAUAUUGCAGCUGAAAAAAGCAUGCUACCGUUAACAAAAACACGCUCCUAUUCUUUAGCCUAUUAUAUAUAUGGCCGUUGAUUUAGAAGAACAGCUCAUUCACAAUGUUUAGAAUCAUCUCGGGAGGAAUGCUCAGUAUUUCCCUGCGGAAAUUGAUUCUUUAUGUUCUAGCUAUGUGGACUCCUCUGGUUAUUGCUGCUCCAAGGCCAUAGUGAGCAUGGAGAUGAAAUAUUUUAGGGAACUGAAUUUAUAGAUUCUUGGCAUAGUGCUCGAUGCCCUUUCCUGCAAGGGGGUGAAUUUGCCAUUUGGUGUGCCCUAUCUGCGGAGGAAUGUUGUCCGAGGGAGUGAUGCCUCCAACGCCUCAGAUUUCAUCCGCAUCACCAAUCAUCUGCGGAGGAAUGUCGACUGAUUCUGCAAAAGGAGAACCAGUACAUAUAUUAGCUUAUUACGGUAGCUGUGGACCAGCAAAAUUUUUCAGAGGUAGAAGAAUGCUCAGCCAAUAUAAUAGAGGGCAGAAGCCAUGUUACCGAAGCUUAAACCUCUGAAAAUGGGAGAAUGUUUCAUGCAUUGAUGGGAGAUGGUGUAGCCCCAGGAAAACUGCAAUGAUGUAGAUAAUAUAAAGCAGGCAUUUAGCAAAUGCCUACUUAUGCUAGGAGAGCAGCCACAUACUUUACUUAUCAAGUGUGCAAUAUUAGAUAAUUUUGGAUCUGGUUCAAGCAUUCGAUGUGGCAGAGGCAGUCGGCAGUCUGUAGAGUGAUGCCUAGAGUUUCUCAAUUGUUUUUGCAGUCAAUGCAGAUCAGAUUUUUAAAUUUACUGUUGCACUUUUUCAUCAUUUCUUUUGAAUCGGUCAACUUAUUUGUAAAUGGAUAUGUAAAUAGAUUUGUUGUUUAAUAAAUGUCUUUUUUUGGGGGGGAGGGGUUGAAUUGGUCCCCCUGCUCAAGGCUGCAGAGAAUGGUCCUUGAUCAUGGUCAUUUUUUUCAGCCUAGUGUUUCUGUGUUGAUUUUUUAUAUUUUCUUUUUUUAUUACAUAAUUUUUUAAUUUUAUGUUAAGCAAAAUAUGUGAAG